Molecule: ribosomal RNA, 253 nt
Filed under: uncultured bacterium
Lineage: Bacteria
Description: partial 16S ribosomal RNA
Rfam family: Bacterial small subunit ribosomal RNA
Source: RNAcentral
UACGGAGGGUGCGAGCGUUGUCCGGAAUCACUGGGCGUAAAGAGCUCGUAGGCGGCUCGUUGCGUCGGCUGUGAAAACCCGCAGCUCAACUGUGGGCUUGCAGCCGAUACGGGCGGGCUGGGAUUCGGUAGGGGAGACUGGAAUUCCUGGUGUAGCGGUGAAAUGCGCAGAUAUCAGGAGGAACACCGGUGGCGAAGGUGGGUCUCUGGGCCGAUAUCGACGCUGAGGAGCGAAAGCGUGGGGAGCGAACAGG